This is a long non-coding RNA of Oncorhynchus tshawytscha (Chinook salmon), 587 nucleotides long. Lineage: Eukaryota; Metazoa; Chordata; Actinopteri; Salmoniformes; Salmonidae. The record is from Ensembl.
GACAGAGAGACGGACAGACAGAGAGACGGACAGACAGAGAGACGGACAGACAGUCGGAGAGACGGAGAGAGACAGAGAGACAGAGAGACGGAGAGAAGGAGAGACGGACAGACAGAGAGACGGACAGACAGAGAGACGGACAGAGAGACGGAGAGACGGACAGAGAGACUGAGAGACGGACAGAGAGACUGAGAGACGGACAGAGAGACUGAGAGACGGACAGACAGACAGACAGACAGAGAGACGGACAGAGAGACAGAGAGACGGACAGACAGACAGAGAGACGGACAGACAGAGAGACGGACAGACAGAGAGACGGACAGACAGACAGAGAGACAGACAGACGGACAGAGAGACAGACAGAGAGACGGACAGACGGACAGAGAGACGGACAGACAGACAGAGACAGACAGACAGACAGACGGACAGACAGAGAGACGGACAGACAGACAGACAGAAAGACGGACAGACAGUGAGACGGACAGACAGAGACGGACGGACAGACACAGACAGUGAGACGGACAGACAGACAGACUAAAAGACGGACAGACAGUGAGACGGACAGACAGACACAGACAGUGAGACGG